UUUAUUCCAUAAAACUACCAGUCUACAAUACAACACUCACAAAGGUCUACAAAGCUAACAAGUACAUAGCCUAGAUCGUUGACCACUGGCACUGGGCUUUUCCAAAUGCGUGGCGGUCCUCGUUUAGAAAGGUGUUGGGCCAGAAAGCCCAAUCUUCUGUAUAUCUGAGACUGAUGUUUGCUACUAAGAGGUCUGUCUCUGACUACUAAAUCGCCUCUUCAAAGAAUUAACUUCAAGGGUCGCAUCAUUACAUUGUCUUCAUGAUCCAAUAUAUGGCAAUGGUAGACGUAACCAGGCUCUGCAGUUGCAUCAAACGCAUAAGAUGCAUUCGAGUGGAUGUAAGCAAAUCUCACUAGAAUCUUUGUCACAUACCCUGGUGUCAUCUUAUACACGUUCUUCCACCCUUUCUCUUGUGCUGGCACCUCUAACUUCUUGCCGCUUGCAUACUUGUUUAUUUUGCAUUUAAUUGCAUCGUUCGAUUUAUUCAUGCAAGCUUUAAACUCCUCUAUAUUGAUCAACUCCGUUUGAUCCAUCACCACGAAUAAUCCCAAAUGAAUAUGCAAUGGAUGAUUAUCCUCCGUUAGAUUGAUCACAUUCCAUACCUCUGUGGUCCCUUCUUUUGGGGUUUCAGUCACUGGUUCUUCGUAAGGUUUGCCAUUGAUAUAAAGAUGAAUUGGCUCAUCAGUGUUGCUUGUGUACUCGUAUAGAGCGAUGUAUCGAGUUUGUGAUGCACUGGAUAAUUCUGGAGAAGGAUAUUUUAUCAACUUUUUUGGCACUCUCCACGUGUCCACCUCCUUAUCCUUCUUGAUGAUGAACUUCAUCACCUUCCCAUUCGCUUCAUUGACUGGGUCCCCGUCUGGAAAGGGAUACUUUGCAUUAUUGGCUAAAAUAACAGUGUCUGACUUUGACUUUGAAAAGUCAAUAACCACAUCAGCAAUUUCAGAUGGAGCUAAGAGGAUUUCAUUUGUCACUACAUGUUCUUCAAGAUAUACAGAGUCAGCUGCCACGUAGAUAAAUCUAAGACCGUUGGUGAAAAAGAAUCUGAAAAAUCUAGCAUUGCUAGCAUUUAUAAUGCGAAAUCUAUAUUUACGACGUCGUACUGUCGCAUGUGGCCAUGCCUUGCCAUUGACAAUAAUUGCGUCCCCAAAGUACUCCGGUUGCCACUGUGGAUGUAUGGAGGGAUUGUUUCCAGUAGAAUUCAUGUAUAUGGAACCAUUGAUGCGAAAGCUCCGAUCAAACACCAUCAAAGUCCGAUCAAACUCAUCGCCGUAAGGUAGACCAAGUGGGCCUUCAACCUUAGGGUGGCGAAUAAUGUAGGCUCCAACCAAGCC
RNAcentral lists this unclassified non-coding RNA (1331 nucleotides) under Hevea brasiliensis (rubber tree). Lineage: Eukaryota; Viridiplantae; Streptophyta; Magnoliopsida; Malpighiales; Euphorbiaceae. The record is from RNAcentral.